This is a long non-coding RNA of Brassica napus (rape), 1350 nucleotides long. RefSeq lists it as uncharacterized. The record is from RefSeq and is a predicted model, not a curated record. NCBI's taxonomy places the organism in Eukaryota, Viridiplantae, Streptophyta, Magnoliopsida, Brassicales, Brassicaceae. The transcript is spliced from 2 exons.
GACUCUUAACCCAACUCUUACCCCUAAACCCCAAUUUUAAAAUAAUUAACAAAACACAUAAGCCCAAGAGUUGCCUCUUGCGUAAGGUCUGGAAGGCCCGCCUCUUAGUGACAGGUGUCACCAUAACGCGAUGUCUCUGUCUCUGUCUCUCUCUCUCAUCUCUCAUCUCUCAUCUCUCUUUCUCUCCCGAAAGGACUGAUUCUGUUUGAUUUCGAAACUUCCACCACCGGAAUCGCCGCCAUCUCAGUCGCUUCACCCUCCUCCGUCCCGACCUUCCUCCCCAACGCCUCCUCCGUCCCGACCUUCCUCCCCAACGCCUCCUCCAUCCCGAUCAAUCUCUGAAGCUCUUGAUAUCCUCUUCUCAGGGGCACGCGUUGAGCUGAGCACGGACUGGUUUGUUCUCUUAUUACAAAGCAAUAAAUAUUUUUUGUCAGAUCAUCUUUGAGUUUUGUAAUGAUCGUUUCUUAUCAAACCUCAAGGUGAAUUGUGGAGCCGACCUUGCUAUUUUGUUUGUUUGGUGUGGUAGUUAAAUCAAUUAACGCAUUGUCUCUACCCACUUGGGCUGUUCAUGUUUCCAGUGUUGUCGAAUGGUUCCUCUCCCUUCUUCCUUGAUUUAAUUGAUUCAACCCUCAUCUUAGAAAAGUUUUGAACUUUUGAUCUAUAGUGAUGCGAGAUAAUAGUUUCUGUUGUGGGUUUCUCGAGUUCUUGAUAUCUGUUCAGAAAGAAAGGGUUAUGAGUCAUGUAAAGGUCUCUCAUGGGAAAUGGUUGACUUUAGAAGAGAGUUUUGUUGAAUCUAAGAAGCAAAUAUGUCUUUGUAAGAAUAUUGAUAUGCAAAAAAAAAAAGAAUAUUGAUAUGCAAACUGUUUGGUAUACUUCUGGUUCAUAUGAGAUUAAAGAUGUGUUGAUUUUGUUUUGAUAGGCAGAUGGGGAGAGGAUUCUAGGAUCAAGGUCUGAGUAUUUGCAGAGCAAUGCAAGACUAGGAACAAACUCAAGGUUGUUUUGUUUCCUUUCCUUCACCGGGGACACUUGGCUAAAAUCUCUGAACCAGUUAGAGGUAGGCUCUCAUACAAGCCUCCCAUCUAUGAUAUCAAUGCGCCAGACUUGUACAUUCCCUUUAUGGCAUUUGGUACGUACGUUGUUCUUGCUGGUCUUUCACUGGGACUUAAUGGAAAGUAAGUUCUUGUGACCCUAUGCAUCUCUCUCAGCGUUUUGAGUCUUAGGGGUUCAGUGAUCGAUGGACACUGAAGAUUUUUAACCUGAAUUCAUGUAGGUCUUCUUAUUGGUACUUUGUAUCAGAAGUUUGAACAUUAUUGACAUUGUAUGUGGUAAAGAUUCAUGUUUUAUAAACAA